This 536-nucleotide long non-coding RNA is filed under the name Chrysemys picta bellii (western painted turtle). RNAcentral describes it as "lncRNA (ENSCPBG00000027175.1)". Lineage: Eukaryota; Metazoa; Chordata; Testudines; Emydidae. The record is from RNAcentral.
UUUCAUAUUUAAUAAUAUUUAAUAUUUCAUUUACUACUGGGGACUCACCUUUUUUUUUCCAGCAGAAUGUAAGAUGCAAGGCACUAUAGUACAUUAAGAUUUUAUGUCUGAGUAUAACAGUGUUGUAAAGAUUGUCGUUGGAGCUGUUUAGCAUGAUGCAGAGACUGAAAGCAACUAGGUUUCUUUUUCUUUCUCCUGCCCCCUCCAGCAGUCAAAGCAGGAAUGGAAGAGGCCGUCACAAAACCACAUAGCAGGAGCUGCCAGCAACAGGAGGAGAAAGAAACGCGUUGUCGGCCAUACUGUUCCAGUUCAGGGACUCUCGCAACAGAAAAGAUCAGCUGCUGGAGAACCCAUGGAAGGCCCUUGGGGAAGCGCCAUGGCCGCAAGGUAAUCAGCAGGCAAAGUUAUUAUCAUUAUGCUGCUAAUUAAUUCCCAGCUCAUUACAUUUCCUGUGGCUAAUUUGUACUCGCCACUGAUUUGAUUAAACUCAUCUCUAUGCUAAUAAAUGUGUUUUCCAUUUGUUUUAGUGACUGAAG